Molecule: ribosomal RNA, 327 nt
Filed under: Staphylococcus sp. HMSC062D04
Lineage: Bacteria; Bacillati; Bacillota; Bacilli; Caryophanales; Staphylococcaceae
Description: bacterial LSU rRNA
Rfam family: Bacterial large subunit ribosomal RNA
Source: RNAcentral
AGAUUAAGUUAUUAAGGGCGCACGGUGGAUGCCUUGGCACUAGAAGCCGAUGAAGGACGUUACUAACGACGAUAUGCUUUGGGUAGCUGUAAGUAAGCGUUGAUCCAGAGAUUUCCGAAUGGGGGAACCCAGCAUGAGUUAUGUCAUGUUAUCGACAUGUGAAUUUAUAGCAUGUCAGAAGGCAGACCCGGAGAACUGAAACAUCUUAGUACCCGGAGGAAGAGAAAGAAAAAUCGAUUCCCUGAGUAGCGGCGAGCGAAACGGGAAGAGCCCAAACCAACAAGCUUGCUUGUUGGGGUUGUAGGACACUCUAUACGGAGUUACAAA